GACGAACGUUGGCGGCGUGCUUAACACAUGCAAGUCGAACGGAAAGGCCCUUCGGGGUACUCGAGUGGCGAACGGGUGAGUAACACGUGGGUGAUCUGCCCAGCACUUUGGGAUAAGCCUGGGAAACUGGGUCUAAUACCGAAUAGGACCACGCGCUUCAUGGUGUGUGGUGGAAAGCUUUUGCGGUGUGGGAUGGGCCCGCGGCCUAUCAGCUUGUUGGUGGGGUAAUGGCCUACCAAGGCGACGACGGGUAGCCGGCCUGAGAGGGUGACCGGCCACACUGGGACUGAGAUACGGCCCAGACUCCUACGGGAGGCAGCAGUGGGGAAUAUUGCACAAUGGGCGCAAGCCUGAUGCAGCGACGCCGCGUGAGGGAUGACGGCCUUCGGGUUGUAAACCUCUUUCAAUAGGGACGAAGCGCAAGUGACGGUACCUAUAGAAGAAGCACCGGCCAACUACGUGCCAGCAGCCGCGGUAAUACGUAGGGUGCGAGCGUUGUCCGGAAUUACUGGGCGUAAAGAGCUCGUAGGUGGUUUGUCGCGUUGUUCGUGAAAACUCACAGCUUAACUGUGGGCGUGCGGGCGAUACGGGCAGACUAGAGUACUGCAGGGGAGACUGGAAUUCCUGGUGUAGCGGUGGAAUGCGCAGAUAUCAGGAGGAACACCGGUGGCGAAGGCGGGUCUCUGGGCAGUAACUGACGCUGAGGAGCGAAAGCGUGGGGAGCGAACAGGAUUAGAUACCCUGGUAGUCCACGCCGUAAACGGUGGGUACUAGGUGUGGGUUCCUUCCUUGGGAUCCGUGCCGUAGCUAACGCAUUAAGUACCCCGCCUGGGGAGUACGGCCGCAAGGCUAAAACUCAAAGGAAUUGACGGGGGCCCGCACAAGCGGCGGAGCAUGUGGAUUAAUUCGAUGCAACGCGAAGAACCUUACCUGGGUUUGACAUGCACAGGACGCCGGCAGAGAUGUCGGUUCCCUUGUGGCCUGUGUGCAGGUGGUGCAUGGCUGUCGUCAGCUCGUGUCGUGAGAUGUUGGGUUAAGUCCCGCAACGAGCGCAACCCUUGUCCUAUGUUGCCAGCGGGUUAUGCCGGGGACUCGUAGGAGACUGCCGGGGUCAACUCGGAGGAAGGUGGGGAUGACGUCAAGUCAUCAUGCCCCUUAUGUCCAGGGCUUCACACAUGCUACAAUGGCCGGUACAAAGGGCUGCGAUGCCGUGAGGUGGAGCGAAUCCUUUCAAAGCCGGUCUCAGUUCGGAUCGGGGUCUGCAACUCGACCCCGUGAAGUCGGAGUCGCUAGUAAUCGCAGAUCAGCAACGCUGCGGUGAAUACGUUCCCGGGCCU
Molecule: ribosomal RNA, 1337 nt
Filed under: uncultured bacterium
Lineage: Bacteria
Description: bacterial SSU rRNA
Rfam family: Bacterial small subunit ribosomal RNA
Source: RNAcentral